This 110-nucleotide ribosomal RNA is filed under the name Periophthalmus magnuspinnatus. The record is from RNAcentral. Lineage: Eukaryota; Metazoa; Chordata; Actinopteri; Gobiiformes; Gobiidae.
AAUGUUACCACCUUGAGAGUGCCCAAUCCUGUCUGAGCUUGGAAACUAAAGAGGGCUGGGCCUGGCUAGUACUGGGAAUGGAGCAGUGGCUAAGUGCCAGGAGAACGUUC